GAACGCGAAGAACCUUACCAAGGCUUGACAUGCACGGCGGCACUGCAGAGAUGUGGUGGCAUUUAGUUGGUCGUGUGCAGGUGGUGCAUGGUUGUCGUCAGCUCGUGUCGUGAGAUGUUGGGUUAAGUCCCGCAACGAGCGCAACCCUUGCCCUAUGUUGCCAGCACGUGAUGGUGGGGACUCGUGGGGGACUGCCGGGGUUAACUCGGAGGAAGGUGGGGAUGACGUCAAAUCAUCAUGCCCCUUAUGUCUUGGGCUUCACGCAUGCUACAAUGGUUGGUACAGAGGGUUGCGAAAUCGUGAGUGGAGCGAAUCCCUUAAAGCCAGUCUCAGUUCGGAUUGGGGUCUGCAACUCGACCCCAUGAAGGUGGAGUCGCUAGUAAUCGCAGAUCAGCAACGCUGCGGUGAAUACGUUCUCGGGUCUUGUACACACC
RNAcentral lists this ribosomal RNA (434 nucleotides) under uncultured bacterium. RNAcentral's name for it is "bacterial SSU rRNA". It matches the Rfam family "Bacterial small subunit ribosomal RNA", at positions 957 to 1391 of the family's 1533-position model. The record is from RNAcentral.